AGCCUGAACGCUGGCGGCGUGGCUAAGACAUGCAAGUCGUACGGAGGUAGCAAUACCUCAGUGGCGAACGGGUGAGUAAUGAAUCGUUAACGUGCCCCGGACUCUGGGAUAGCCGGUCGAAAGGCCGGGUAAUACCAGAUGAUAUACCUUUAUCGCAUGAUAGAGGUCUCAAAGGUCCGCCGGUCUGGGAGCGGGCGAUUUCGUAUCAGCUAGUUGGUGAGGUAACGGCUCACCAAGGCGACGACGCGUAGCCGGACUGAGAGGUUGGCCGGCCACAUUGGGACUGAGACACUGCCCAGACUCCUACGGGGGCUGCAGUAACGAAUCUUCCGCAAUGCACGAAAGUGUGACGGAGCGGCGCCGCGUGUGGGACGAAGCCCUUCGGGGUGUAAACCACUGUCAGAGGAAAGAAAGUUCUGAUCUACCUCAGAGGAAGAGGCGGCUAACUCUGCGCCAGCAGCCGC
This 464-nucleotide ribosomal RNA is filed under the name uncultured bacterium. Its description in RNAcentral is "SSU rRNA". It matches the Rfam family "Bacterial small subunit ribosomal RNA", at positions 26 to 518 of the family's 1533-position model. The record is from RNAcentral.